AGCUCCAAUAGCGUAUAUUAAAGUUGUUGCAGUUAAAAAGCUCGUAGUUGAAUUUUAGGCUUGGUUGGACGGUCUGCCUUAGGGUUUGUACUGUCCUGGCUGGGUCUUACCUUCUGGUAAACUGUCGUGUCGUUUAUUCGGCGCGGCAGGGAACCAGGACUUUUACUUUGAAAAAAUUAGAGUGUUUAAAGCAGGCUUCUCGCUUGAAUACAUUAGCAUGGAAUAAUAGAAUAGGACUUUUGGUUCUAUUUUGUUGGUUUCUAGGACCGAAGUAAUGAUUAAUAGGGAUAGUUGGGGGCAUUAGUAUUUAAUUGUCAGAGGUGAAAUUCUUGGAUUUAUGAAAGACUAACUUCUGCGAAAGCAUUUGCCAAGGAUGUUUUCA
RNAcentral lists this ribosomal RNA (382 nucleotides) under uncultured eukaryote. RNAcentral describes it as "SSU rRNA". It matches the Rfam family "Eukaryotic small subunit ribosomal RNA", at positions 587 to 972 of the family's 1831-position model. The record is from RNAcentral.